UCCACAUUGCUAGUGAAACUACAUGAACUCGUAAACUCUAGAACCAAAUAUACCCUAAGCUCUUGAAGAUUAUUAAGAUAUAUGUUGACAGUAAUUGGAUAUUUCGUUUCAAACAACACCUUUGCUCUAUCAGUCAGUUUACAAACAAAUUCAACUUUCUUCCAUUCAUCACAAGAUGGAAUAUCAUAAAAAUAUAUCACUAACCUUAUCUGAAGAAUAUUCCCCCAUGGACUAUUGCUCUAGAGCCAUUUUUAGCUUGUAGGUUGUGAGACACCAAAGAGGCGGAGAUUUCCAAUAACACAGUAGACUAACUUUGGUAAUUAUGUCAGAAAUCUCCUUAAAAGCAUCAUUUGCCAUCUGAUUGAACAUCGCAGCACAACAAUUUAUUUAUACGAAACAGCUGACCAUUAAGUUGAAGAUUCUUGACUGUUUGAAUUUGACUUUUAACUAUCUCAACACGCUCAUAUAUCCUCAUCAAGACUUGAUGAUGUGAAAGUGGAUACUUUCUCCUCAAUCUCCCAAUCUUUUAGAGUCUUUAAAAUGGCUUCGAUCGGAAAUGAAAUCAUCUUCCCAGUCCCAUAAAUGCUGGAAAUUAAAUGAAGCACCCACUUACUUUCUUGGUUUCCAACUAUCAUCAAUAAAAUGUGCCGAUAGGCACAUAAAUUCGUCGUAAUUACCACUGCGUCUGUAGUAUCUCAAUACAUCAACCGAAAGGCUGACCUGUCCAUCCAUAUUUCUGAAGAUAUUCUUGACCUUGACUUUCUCUUCCUCAUAAAUUUUCAAGCAAUUGGCUUUGACAGUAUCAUAAUCUAAUUUAACAAAUGGAUUUAACUGAUUUGAAAAUUCCAGCAUAUAUAUAUAGCCAAUUAAUGGUGCCACGUCGCAAGAACAUAUCAAAUCUGCAAGAAGUCUGUGAGCUUUCUGGCAGUCAAUACCAGCAUGCUCAUCACCAUUCUCAGAUCCGGAAUCUGAAAUGAAAUCCCAUUCACAUUACUUGCUAGGUUUUUUAAAAUAGGAGAAUCGAAAUAUGCAAAACAAUGCUUGUUGUUAGGGUUUCAAUGCUUGUUUUUGU
Molecule: long non-coding RNA, 1072 nt
Filed under: Panax ginseng (ginseng)
Lineage: Eukaryota; Viridiplantae; Streptophyta; Magnoliopsida; Apiales; Araliaceae
Description: long non-coding RNA (PGIN_LNC008515)
Source: RNAcentral